This 90-nucleotide transfer RNA is filed under the name Alphaproteobacteria bacterium. RNAcentral's name for it is "tRNA-Ser". It matches the Rfam family "tRNA". From Rfam's summary of the family: Transfer RNA (tRNA) molecules are approximately 80 nucleotides in length. Lineage: Bacteria; Pseudomonadati; Pseudomonadota; Alphaproteobacteria. The record is from RNAcentral.
GGAGGGGUGGCCGAGCGGUAAGGCAACGGAUUGCUAAUCCGUGACCAUCAUAAUAGUGGUCGCAGGGUUCGACUCCCUGUCCCUCCGCCA